Molecule: ribosomal RNA, 468 nt
Filed under: uncultured bacterium
Lineage: Bacteria
Description: partial 16S ribosomal RNA
Rfam family: Bacterial small subunit ribosomal RNA
Source: RNAcentral
GACGAACGCUGGCGGCGUGCUUAACACAUGCAAGUCGAACGGAAAGGCCCUGCUUUUGUGGGGUGCUCGAGUGGCGAACGGGUGAGUAACACGUGAGUAACCUGCCCUUGACUUUGGGAUAACUUCAGGAAACUGGGGCUAAUACCGGAUAGGAGCUCCUGCUGCAUGGUGGGGGUUGGAAAGUUUCGGCGGUUGGGGAUGGACUCGCGGCUUAUCAGCUUGUUGGUGGGGUAGUGGCUUACCAAGGCUUUGACGGGUAGCCGGCCUGGGUGGGUGACCGGCCACAUGGGGACUGAGAUACGGCCCAGAGGCCUACGGGAGGCAGCAGUGGGGAAUAUUGCACAAUGGGCGGAAGCCUGAUGCAGCAACGCCGCGUGCGGGAUGACGGCCUUCGGGUUGUAAACCGCUUUCGCCUGUGACGAAGCGUGAGUGACGGUAAUGGGUAAAGAAGCACCGGCUAACUACGUG